CGGUCCCUGGUGCAUUUGCCAGACAUUCUGUCCUCGAGCCGAUAAAGUGUUAACCGGGGGUGACCGAUGACGUUGGUGUGCAAGUCCGGCAUGACCGGGAAGCCUGAUACGUCACGGGAGCCACCACCUUGAAUCUAUCGGGUUCAAGGGCCGUACCGUCAGCGGUGCUCCGGGUACCGA
Molecule: non-coding RNA, 180 nt
Filed under: Congregibacter litoralis KT71
Lineage: Bacteria; Pseudomonadati; Pseudomonadota; Gammaproteobacteria; Cellvibrionales; Halieaceae
Description: 6S / SsrS RNA
Rfam family: 6S / SsrS RNA
About the family: E. coli 6S RNA was the first non coding RNA to be sequenced, but its function was unknown until recently. It consists of 184 nucleotides that fold into an extended hairpin structure with a large single-stranded internal bulge. The 6S RNA specifically associates with RNA polymerase holoenzyme containing the sigma70 specificity factor.
Source: Rfam by way of RNAcentral